GGAGUGAAAUCCUAGAAUGACA
Molecule: small nuclear RNA, 22 nt
Filed under: Arabidopsis thaliana (thale cress)
Lineage: Eukaryota; Viridiplantae; Streptophyta; Magnoliopsida; Brassicales; Brassicaceae
Description: snRNA_08763
Source: RNAcentral